This 239-nucleotide ribosomal RNA is filed under the name uncultured Staphylococcus sp. RNAcentral describes it as "partial 16S ribosomal RNA". It matches the Rfam family "Bacterial small subunit ribosomal RNA", at positions 102 to 334 of the family's 1533-position model. Lineage: Bacteria; Bacillati; Bacillota; Bacilli; Caryophanales; Staphylococcaceae. The record is from RNAcentral.
GACGGGUGAGUAACACGUGGAUAACCUACCUAUAAGACUGGGAUAACUUCGGGAAACCGGAGCUAAUACCGGAUAAUAUUUUGAACCGCACGGUUCAAAAGUGAAAGACGGUCUUGCUGUCACUUAUAGAUGGAUCCGCGCUGCAUUAGCUAGUUGGUAAGGUAACGGCUUACCAAGGCAACGAUGCAUAGCCGACCUGAGAGGGUGAUCGGCCACACUGGAACUGAGACACGGUCCAG